This 449-nucleotide ribosomal RNA is filed under the name uncultured bacterium. Its description in RNAcentral is "partial 16S ribosomal RNA". It matches the Rfam family "Bacterial small subunit ribosomal RNA", at positions 331 to 794 of the family's 1533-position model. The record is from RNAcentral.
CCAGACUCCUACGGGAGGCAGCAGUGGGGAAUAUUGGGCAAUGGGCGCAAGCCUGACCCAGCAAUGCCGCGUGAAGGAAGAAGGCCUUCGGGUUGUAAACUUCUUUUAUCAGGGACGAAGGAUGUGACGGUACCUGAUGAAUAAGCUCCGGCUAACUACGUGCCAGCAGCCGCGGUAAUACGUAGGUGGCAAGCGUUGUCCGGAUUUACUGGGUGUAAAGGGCGUGUAGCCGGGCUGACAAGUCAGAUGUGAAAUUCCGGGGCUCAACCCCGGACCUGCAUUUGAAACUGUUGGUCUUGAGUAUCGGAGAGGCAGGCGGAAUUCCUAGUGUAGCGGUGAAAUGCGUAGAUAUUAGGAGGAACACCAGUGGCGAAGGCGGCCUGCUGGACAGCAACUGACGCUGAGGCGCGAAAGCGUGGGGAGCAAACAGGAUUAGAUACCCCCGUAGA